CUUUGUACCAAAGGAGCAAUCCGCUUUGAAAUGAGCUCGCGUCCGAUUAGAUAGUUGGCGGGGUAACGGCCCACCAAGUCGACGAUCGGUAGCCGGACUGAGAGGUUGAUCGGCCACAUUGGGACUGAGAUACGGCCCAGACUCCUACGGGAGGCAGCAGUGGGGGAUAUUAGACAAUGGGGGAAACCCUGAUCUAGCAACGCCGCGUGAAGGAUGAAGGUUUUCGGAUUGUAAACUUCUUUGACGAGGGAAGAUAAUGACGGUACCUCGAGAACAAGCCACGGCUAACUACGUGCCAGCAGCCGCGGUAAUACGUAGGUGGCGAGCGUUGUCCGGAUUUACUGGGUGUAAAGGGCGUGUAGGCGGGACUGCAAGUCAGAUGUGAAAUACGGAGGCUUAACCUCCGGGCUGCAUUUGAAACUGCAAUUCUUGAGUGAUGGAGAGGUAAGCGGAAUUCCCGGUGUAGAGGUAAAAUUCGUAGAUAUCGGGAGGAACACCAGUGGCGAAGGCGGCUUACUGGACAUUAACUGACGCUGAGGCGCGAAAGUGUGGGGAGCAAACAGGAUUAGAUACCCUGGUAGUCCACACUGUAAACGAUGGAUACUAGGUGUGGGGGGACUGACCCCUUCCGUGCCGGAGUUAACACAAUAAGUAUCCCACCUGGGGAGUACGGUCGCAAGAUUAAAACUCAAAGGAAUUGACGGGGACCCGCACAAGCAGUGGAGUAUGUGGUUUAAUUCGACGCUACGCGAAAAACCUUACCAAGGCUUGACAUCCUACUAACGAAGUAGAGAUACAUUAGGUGCCCCUCGGGGAAAGUAGAGACAGGUGGUGCAUGGUUGUCGUCAGCUCGUGUCGUGAGAUGUUGGGUUAAGUCCCGCAACGAGCGCAACCCCUGUGGUUAGUUGCUACGCAAGAGCACUCUAGCCAGACUGCCGUUGACAAAACGGAGGAAGGUGGGGACGACGUCAAAUCAUCAUGCCCUUUAUGUCUUGGGCUACACACGUACUACAAUGGCGGUCAACAAAGGGCAGCGAAGGCGCGAGCCGGAGCAAAUCCCCAAAAGCCGCCCCAGUUCAGAUUGCAG
Molecule: ribosomal RNA, 1087 nt
Filed under: uncultured bacterium
Lineage: Bacteria
Description: bacterial SSU rRNA
Rfam family: Bacterial small subunit ribosomal RNA
Source: RNAcentral